AGGUUCUGGGAAUGCAGAGGCAGGGGUCUGAAGAACAAAGCUGGCCGUCGAAUCCCAGCACACAUCCUUGCCCGUUGCUUUAUGCGAAGGAGCAGUGGAAGGUUUUGUAAAGAGUUCAGAUCAGGCAUCAUGUCCAAGGGAACUGCUGCGUCAAGCCCAGAAGGCUGAAACGUCAUCUGGUCUUGUUUGUUUUUAUUUUCUAUUUGGCCUUCUGAAAACUAGGUAUUAAACUUUAUUUCUUCUUAAGGAAAUUUCUGAAGUGACCAGGAUUUGAAAUAACAAAGAAAAUGCGUAGAUUCUCAGACAAGAGAAUGUUUGAUCUUUUCAUACUGAUUCGAAUAUGAAUGUGGAUGAAAAAGCAGACAGUAAAGAUGCAUUUUUGCCCUUUC
Triticum dicoccoides is the source of this 389-nucleotide long non-coding RNA. RefSeq lists it as uncharacterized. Lineage: Eukaryota; Viridiplantae; Streptophyta; Magnoliopsida; Poales; Poaceae. The record is from RefSeq and is a predicted model, not a curated record. The transcript is spliced from 2 exons.